This 660-nucleotide ribosomal RNA is filed under the name uncultured bacterium. RNAcentral describes it as "bacterial SSU rRNA". It matches the Rfam family "Bacterial small subunit ribosomal RNA", at positions 28 to 722 of the family's 1533-position model. The record is from RNAcentral.
AACGAACGCUGGCGGCAUGCCUAACACAUGCAAGUCGAACGAACCUUCAACUUCGGUUGAAUGGUUAGUGGCGCACGGGUGCGUAACGCGUGGGAAUCUGCCCUUAGGUACGGAAUAACUCAGGGAAACUUGUGCUAAUACCGUAUGAAUGUCGAGAGACCAAAGAUUCAUCGCCUAAGGAUGAGCCCGCGUUGGAUUAGCUAGUUGGUGGGGUAAAAGCCUACCAAGGCUACGAUCCAUAGCUGGUCUGAGAGGAUGAUCAGCCACACUGGGACUGAGACACGGCCCAGACUCCUACGGGAGGCAGCAGUGGGGAAUAUUGCGCAAUGGGCGAAAGCCUGACGCAGCGACGCCGCGUGAGGGAUGAAGGUCUUCGGAUUGUAAACCUCUUUCAGCAGGGACGAAGCGAAAGUGACGGUACCUGCAGAAGAAGCACCGGCUAACUACGUGCCAGCAGCCGCGGUAAUACGUAGGGUGCAAGCGUUGUCCGGAUUUACUGGGCGUAAAGAGCUCGUAGGCGGUUAGUCACGUCGGAUGUGAAAACUCAGUGCUUAACACUGAGCCUGCAUUCGAUACGGGCUGACUAGAGUAUUGUAGGGGAGACUGGACUCUGGUGUAGCGGUGAAAUGCGCAGAUAUCAGAAGAACACCGUGGCGAAGC